CCACCCUCUUGCGGGCGAGCGCUGGCUACCAUUGGACUGUCCGGCGCGAGGGGAAGGGUGAUCUAUAAAUAGGGAAUGGGUACACGUGACAGUUUGGCAGCUGCUCCUACCCCUCCACCCCGCCCAACCUUCAGCUUCUGAGGCUGCGCAGGGGGAGAAAAGGGUUAGGGGGUCGAGCCCUGACUUCGCCUCCUCUUCCAAGAAGCCUUCCCAGACACUCAGCUGUAAAACCAGACGGACGUCCUCCGAUGAAAUUGUUUCUACUUAGGGCCGGCUUCACCGGCUUGGAAUCCACUUAGAAGGGUCUUCGCGCUUGGUUGAAUGUUCUGCAAUUUCUGUCUUGAAAUUUUUAGUUUUUGAGCAAGGGGCCCCUUAUUUUCACUUUGCACUAGGCCAAAUAUGUAGCCGGUCUUGCUGCUAAGAGUCUAAGAUCGAUUGCAUUCCAAAUUCUGGAAUUAUAAGACCCUGGGUGGAAGAUUCUAUGCUUUGACCAGAAGAGAGUCUAAGCAGCUUUUGUCUCCCAGGUGCUAGGAGGAUGUGUGCUCAUCAUUCUUCCAUUCCAGGGGCCUUUGUUCUACGUUCUAAGGGGCUUUGUUCUCAGCCUUCUAUGAUGCUCUAUUCUCAACGUUCUCUGGUCCUAGGAGUCUGAGCCUGACAUUCGUUUCCAAGGCUUCCUGCUGUCUCUCCAGGCUCCGCAAGCAGGGCUGGGGCACCCUCAGGCGGCCAAUCUGUAUCACUACGCCGAGCCUGCCUCUACCAACUUCCAAGACCUAGCUCUAAUAUUCAUACUCAUCUCUCAGACAGACCUUGGCUCCCUAAAAGCCAAGGCCCAGAAGAUCAUACAAGAAAUUCCCUCUUUUAUGAUUCCCCGUGCACGAAGUGACCUUCUGGUGGUGAGAUGGAGAGAAAUUGAUAGUGGCGAUAGACAGCAAAGUCUCCAGGAGCCAGACUUCCUCGGGGGCCCAUGCUCUUAGACCACCACCAAGACCUUGUCUUGUCCUGCACCGAGCAACCUCCGUGUCACCCUGCUCCACCUGCUCCAUGAAGCCGCACCCUCCAGAGAGGACCCUUCCCCUUUCCACCCUUCGCGGACCACUCAAUGAGCUACCCUGCACCUGACCCCUUCUGUCCAAGUCAUCACAGUAUUCCCAGAGCUGGAACAGUCAAUGCCUGGCACAUCGUGGGCACUCAACAUGUUGAAUCAAUGGUUACAAAUACAUGAAUGUACUUGUUGAAUAAAUGGUUAUAAAUAAAUGAAUGAAUGAUCCCCCCCCU
RNAcentral lists this long non-coding RNA (1275 nucleotides) under Homo sapiens (human). RNAcentral's name for it is "HSALNT0398323". Lineage: Eukaryota; Metazoa; Chordata; Mammalia; Primates; Hominidae. The record is from RNAcentral.